This is a long non-coding RNA of Homalodisca vitripennis (glassy-winged sharpshooter), 6368 nucleotides long. RefSeq lists it as uncharacterized. The record is from RefSeq and is a predicted model, not a curated record. The transcript is spliced from 2 exons. Lineage: Eukaryota; Metazoa; Arthropoda; Insecta; Hemiptera; Cicadellidae.
GAACUACAGAGUGUACUUAAGGGUGAAAUGAGGUAUAGACUUUCAGCUAAGCAUGUUAUUUUGUGUGAUUGUUCGUCUAUAUCUGUCCGCAGAACUACAGAGUGUACUUAAGGGUGAAAUGAGGUAUAGACUUUCAGCUAAGCAUGUUAUUUUGUGUGAUUGUUCGUCUAUAUCUGUCCGCAGAACUACAGAGUGUACUUAAGGGUGAAAUGAGGUAUAGACUUUCAGCUAAGCAUGUUAUUUUGUGUGAUUGUUCGUCUAUAUCUGUCCGCAGAACUACAGAGUGUACUUAAGGGUGAAAUGAGGUAUAGACUUUCAGCUAAGCAUGUUAUUUUGUGUGAUUGUUCGUCUAUAUCUGUCCGCAGAACUACAUAGUGUACUUAAGGGUGAAAUGAGGUAUAGACUUUCAGCUAAGCAUGAUAUUUUGUGUGAUUGUUCGUCUAUAUCUGUCCGCAGAACUACAGAGUGUACUUAAGGGUGAAAUGAGGUAUAGACUUUCAGCUAAGCAUGUUAUUUUGUGUGAUUGUUCGUCUAUAUCUGUCCGCAGAACUACAGAGUGUACUUAAGGGUGAAAUGAGGUAUAGACUUUCAGCUAAGCAUGUUAUUUUGUGUGAUUGUUCGUCUAUAUCUGUCCGCAGAACUACAGAGUGUACUUAAGGGUGAAAUGAGGUAUAGACUUUCAGCUAAGCAUGUUAUUUUGUGUGAUUGUUCGUCUAUAUCUGUCCGCAGAACUACAGAGUGUACUUAAGGGUGAAAUGAGGUAUAGACUUUCAGCUAAGCAUGUUAUUUUGUGUGAUUGUUCGUCUAUAUCUGUCCGCAGAACUACAGAGUGUACUUAAGGGUGAAACGAGGUGUAGACUUUCCGCUAAGCAUGUUAUUUGGUGUGGCGUUCUCUUACCUAUUAAUUACCUUGACUGGGUUGUUCUUCUCUACAAAUAAUUAUAAUACUAUAAAAAUAUAUUUUUGAGAUAAAUAAUAUAUAAAAUACUCGUAGAAACAUUUUUCUUCAUUUGUGAUUCUUACUACAACAUUAUACGUUUAUUUAUAAUAUGUUGUUUUAUUUCUAACAUCUAAGACUGAGGUUUUGAUAUAUUGGAAAAUUACAUAAUUUCCAAAACGAGAAAAUAGUUUGGUAUGGUUUUGUAAAUCUCUAGGUACCUCUUUAAUAUAAGAAUAGGCUGUACUAAAUAUUAUCUGAGAUCCCAUCAAAUUUAAUUGCAGAAUUUUAUAAUCGCAUUUAGUGGUCUCAGUCGUAUUGUACCACACAAACACACCCACACGCGCGCACACACACACACACACACACACACACACACACACACACACACACACACACACACACACACACACACACACACACACACACAAAAUAAUUGGUAUUAAAUCAUCCUAUUUACGAAAACUGUACAUUCUGUAAACUCUUCAAUAGGAAGGCAAGUGGUUUAUAGUCUUUUUUAUUGGUAUUACGAAGGGCUCAGGGGAAGAAAGAACAUGAUAACUCCAUUUUUUCGAUUUUUAGUUUCUUAGUGAUUUAUGUUGGUAUUUGUGAAACCUAAACAAUGACUAAAUAUUAAAGGGAACAACUUGAUAACUCAUGAGAUAUUUAAAAAAGAAAAUUCAGUACUCAGGGGAAUAACUUGAUAAGUGCCAUCACUUGUUGGGAACAACAUGAUAAAUCCAUAGUUAGCAUUGUGGCCACUGUUGGGAGCAACAAUGUGACAGAUUGCUAAAGUAAACUGUAGAGGUUAUGUUUGUUGUGACAAUAGUUAAGUAACCAAGUGGCAUACAAUAUUGUUGAAAUAUCUAGUUAUGUUAUUAUGUUUAAUAGUUCAUAAGUUUAGUAGUUUAAUUAGUGAGAUUAGUGCAGUUUGCAGUGGAUGAUCUUUUGAAAUCAGAUUAUUGCUUUAUAAUGUCUGACAUUUCCUCAGAUGAAGAUUUAGGGUGUCAACCUAAUCCACCUUUAAGUAAGAAAAGGCCUAAGCAUGGGCGGCUAAGAGAAGUUGUUAAGAAAAUCAAUUUACAAAGCAGAGAAACAGGCGAGCCUUGUAAAUGUAAAAACAAAUGUUUUGAGAAAAUAAAUGAACAUGAAAGAGUAGAGGUCUUAAGGCAAAUUAAUUUGUACAAAAGUCAUGAUGAGGUUAAUCUAUAUUUAACAGGUUUAGUUAAUAUCUUACCUGUUCAGCGGCGUAGACCCAAAAAUGAAUUAAAUGCCAGUUUCGAGAUGCUACAUAUUCUUAUUCCAUCAGGGUAAAAAGAAAUGAUUCUGUUGAAGAAAUUAAAGUAUGCAAAAAUGCAUUCAUAGCUAUUAACGGUAUUUCUAGAGGUAAAUUGACUACAUUUUGAAUCGGAUGAAAAAUACAGGAACACCACCCACUUACAACAAAGGGAAACAUACCAAUAGACCACAAAAACUUGAAUAUAAUUUUAUUGAAGCAGUGAAAAAUCAUAUAAAAUCAUUCAAGGGUCGUGAAAGUCAUUAUAGUAAGAAAGAUUCAAAUAAAAUAUAUUUACCAGAAACCUUAAACGUUUCCAAAAUGUUUGGUAUGUUUAAAGAAAUCAACCCUGGUAUUGUUUGCAGUUUAGAAUCAUAUUGCACUAUAUUUAAUGAGAAUUUCAACAUAUCUUUCGGAUAUCCCAGGUCAGAUACAUGCAGCACAUGUGACAAAAAAUAUGCUGCACAAAAAAAGUUCCUUGAAAAACAGUUAGCUGAAGAAAAUGACAAAGAUAAAAAAGGAGCUUUUCUUAGCGAUAUAAGGAAAAUCGACAUUGAACAUGAUGUGCAUUUAGUCAAAGCAUAUGUUUUCUAUGACAGGAAAAAAAUAGCAAAACAUUCAAGUAGAAUGUCUCAUCAUAAGAAAGCCAUAUGUAUUGAUUUUGCCAAAAACUACCCGUGCCCUAACAUUAAUACAAACGAUGUUUACUACAGAAGGCAAUUAUCAGUAUAUGCUUUCAAUAUUCACAUUUUAUCUGAUAGCAGAAGCAUAUUUUAUUUGUAUCCACAGACAACAGCGAAUAAAGGAAGUGACGAAGUAGCGUCAUUUUUACACGAUUUUGUGUACAAUCAUUUAGACAAAGAUGUGACUCGUCUAGAGAUCUUCUCAGACUCAUGUGGAGGUUAAAACAAAAAUAAAACUUUGCUUCGACUCAUGCACCACCUAGUUCAUGUUGAGAACCGUUUUGAGUACAUCAAAAUGACAUUUCCUAUCCGUGGGCACUCAUAUUUAGAGUGCGAUAAAAAUACUGGUUUGGUUAAACACUCUUCACCAGCUGAGACACCGCAGGAUUGGGUACAGAUAUUUAAAAAUUCCAGAAGCAAGCCAUCACCACUUAUCGUUACCGGAGUUGUCCAGGAAAUGGUAAAGGAUUGGGCAAAGUUUUUAGAUGAAAAGUAUUGUAAUAAAAAACUUCCAUGCAAGUCCAGAGAUAUAAGAGAAUUUGAAGUGGUGAGGGAACAUCCUGCUUUUAUUAGGACCAGGGAGACAUUCAAUGGCCACUGGAAUGAAAUAUUAAUUUUGCAACAAGCAUUUGGGAAGAAAAAGAAAAAUAUCUCAUCUGCAGACGUUUUAAAAAGUGGCAAAAAGGAGACUUAGCAGAAGGCGAAUUCAACUUGCCCAGUCCUGUAUAUGAAGGUACGUUUAUUAUACAUACUCAAAUUAUUGAAUUUUAAUCUAUAAAAGAUACGGAAUUUUUUAAGAUGAUUUUAAUCAAGUAAUAAUAAAAAAUAACUCCUGAUACACCUGGUUAUUUUCCAAACGGAUUGAAAUAUCGAUAUACAAUCUUCAUCAUACUUAUUAGAAUACUUUUUUGUAAUCUUUUGAGGGUGAACAUAUUUAACCCCUAUUUUAUAAGGGAGGUAGAGGAGUAUUCACUUUAAAUUUUCAAAUUGCAACCAUUAUCUUGUGACAUGUCAUUUGAAUGGUAAAUUAAAAAAAUAAAACACAACAUGACAUAAACAAAACAUCUCUACGACGAUACUAGCAAAAGUUAUGGGUUGAUAGCUUACACUUGCAUUGAAUGAAUUAUCUUACAACAUUGCUAAUUUGACGCCUCUACUACUGCAAAUAAGUUUUAGAGAAUUUUAUACAUUUUACGUUAGUUCUCUGGUAGUUACACCACUUUACAUGGAGAGAUUUCAAAAGAUUACGCUGUCAGUUCUUUAUUAAACAAUAACACAUGGGGAUAUUAUGUGUAUAGCUUUAUAAUUAAUUGUACAAAAAUAUUACAGAAUAGAUCUUAAAGAUCCCUGACCCUGUGCGGAUUGUUAUAAAACAGCUGAUCUUCAGAGAUAAAGUGAUGCCAACUGUUUACGUUAUUUAUACCUCACUUUGCAUAAACGACGGAGCAAUGCGACUAUUGUCUGCUUGUUCACAUCCGUAUUAGUGGUGAUAAUGUUAAUGGCUUCUCUUACCUCUGUAACUGAUGACGAGCUUUGUAAUUUAUCUGUCUGGAUUAAUUCAGUGCCUGCAGAAUAUUCAUAAGUAUUAAUAACGGUGUAUGGUUAAGGGAAACCCUACUCAACGUAAUUGCCCUUGGACGUGCAAUCAAUCUGACUUUGGAUUAUUUACCGCAGUAAUUACAUCGCGAUAGUGAAUAUAUUUGUACUGUAUGUUCUUUUCCUACAAAUGUAAUUUUCCCUUAUUAGAAUAAAAUAUUUUGAAAUCACGUGCAGCUUCGAUAUACGUAAUAGAUUACAAGUCUGUCGCGUGCAUGUACUAACAGCCACAAUGAUAUUUUGAAUUAAUAUAAUUCAAGUUUAAGGCAAGUAUAAGGCAGAGUUUUAGCGAAGUAUAUCACUCGAGAAUGUGGGAAAAUUUCAUUUCUGUCUGCAUAUCUAUCUGACUGUCCUCACCAUGUAAAGAAUAACCUAUAGACUUGAGGUUUGCUUAAACUUUAACUUUUAUAUAAGGAACACUGAGUUCGAUGAAGGCGGAGGUCACUUAAUGGGAUUUGACUGAGCGUAAGGGAAUAAUUUUACUUUAUAAAUAACCAUGGUAAUAGCAGAGUAAAUAAAUUUGGAAACAAACUGAAUAGAAUCAUGAGGUUUCAACGUGUGACAUAUGUAGCCAUAGAGAUAAAAGAAAACGUAAUAUAGUGGAAAGUAAAUGUUAUAAAUUGGUAACAAAACUUCCACAUAGACAAGAAUAAGUUCUAUGAUAGUGCAUGUCCAACCAUAGUAUUGGGCUGAGCAUCAGUAACCCGGAUCUCUCACUUGCCGGCCGAGCAUGCUGCCACUACACCACAUAGCACUUACAGUAGUACUUGUUACGAUUCAAUUAUUUUGUAUUUAACAAUUUCUGUCAGAUAUGUGUUUUUGAUUAAUCAGACUAACAUGUGAUUGGAUCAACAACAUCCGUCUUGUGUUAGAAUUUGUAAUUUUUCUUCAGUAUUCGUUUUUUAAAUAUUAAAAAAAAAUUUAAUUCCUAAAUUAUUUUUAGGUCCUUAUAAGAAUUAUUUAAUGCAAUUAUAUUUUCGGCUAAGCUAGAUUUCAAGCUAGUUACAUUAUUUUAUUUUAUUUCCAGGGUAUGCAAUCUAAAUCUUGACUUAAAACAACAACCGGUUUACUGUGUACUGAUGUAAUAUUUAGUAGGCCUAAAUUCAGUGAAUUUUAAUUUUUAGAUUCGCGGUUUUAGAAAUAUGUCCAAUUGCUGUUUAGAAUUUUGAUCUUUUGUAAAUUUUUGGAUAAUUUGAUCAUGUUGUUUUUAGUUUUUAACUCUUUGAAUUUUGAUGUACUGAUUAGUUUGUUUAGUUAUGUGCUGUGAGGUAUACAAAUAUACUCUUUUGUUUUUCUAAAUUAUAAUUCUUUAUUACUUUUUGCUUUUAUGUUGUUAAUAAUUAAAUAAAUGUUUUAGGAUGAAAUACAUUUUUAAUGUCAAAUGAACUUGGUACUGACAAGUCAGCGCUUGUGAGCGUAGAUAUGAUUACUCUUCAAUAAUAUUGGAGUAAAAUAUAAAUUUACUUCAACAUGAUCCGGUGUUUAAAACUGCUGGAUAUCUGCAUGAAGCUACAUAAUAUUCCAUCAAAUGAGAGGAGCGGUAGUAAAAUUCCAGUAUUAUUUGUAUAAACAAGGAAUAAGAUUGUGCUGACGAGAUUGUUGCUGAGACAUCACUGAUUAUAGUCACUAUUACUCAGGAAGCAGGCGUAAUUUGCUGACAUUGUGUAACCUUACUUGUUUUUAAAGUUGAAAGAAAAUGGUUAGCAGUAUACGUCAUUUAUAACUUUUGUUACUUUAGUAAUGAAUUUAAAUGAACACCAUUGUGCUGGUUAGCGUUAAGUGAGGCUGCGGAAAAAGCUACAGCUUUUCAGGAGAAUACUCUGAAAGGAAGUGAAAUCCAAUAACUUAUAUCUUGUAAAUAAAUUUGUUAUCAAUC